GCGCACCCCAGCGGCUCCUCCACGCGGAGAGAUGGUGUCAGUGAAAGGCUGUCUAGAUGACGAGUUUAUGAAAUUGUUUCUGGCCUGUGCCGGGCACGACCUUACAGAGAACCCAGAAGAUGAAACCCCAGCCCUGCCCAGGAGCUCACCUGCUAAUUAGGAGGACAAUGCAUCACCUCAUCUCCCUAGACUUUGCUUCUCCUUUAUUCAGUGAGGGAUUGGACUAGCUGGUCCUUAAGAACUUUUCAGUAAGUCUGGUUCUGGGAGAUGAUCAAUGGGAUCAUCUUAUGCUAUGAGCUUUCCUGGAAUGACAGGUGAUGGAGAGUGAGGAGAUUUUACCUGAUUUGGUCCUGUUUGCACCAUCAGCCAGCAACCUUUCUGGGAAGCAUGCUUAUUAUGUACCAACAUAAAAGCUUGAAUACAAGGUAUGCAGUCCCAAUUUCCUGAUCUCAGAUAGAAAUGUUCAAGCUGCAUAACAUUAAAUUCAAAGAACCA
Molecule: non-coding RNA, 495 nt
Filed under: Pongo abelii (Sumatran orangutan)
Lineage: Eukaryota; Metazoa; Chordata; Mammalia; Primates; Hominidae
Source: RNAcentral